GAGUUUGAUCCUGGCUCAGAUUGAACGCUGGCGGCAUGCCUUACACAUGCAAGUCGAACGGCAGCAUGAUCUAGCUUGCUAGAUUGAUGGCGAGUGGCGAACGGGUGAGUAAUACAUCGGAACGUGCCCUGUAGUGGGGGAUAACUAGUCGAAAGAUUAGCUAAUACCGCAUACGACCUGAGGGUGAAAGUGGGGGACCGCAAGGCCUCAUGCUAUAGGAGCGGCCGAUGUCUGAUUAGCUAGUUGGUGGGGUAAAGGCCCACCAAGGCGACGAUCAGUAGCUGGUCUGAGAGGACGAUCAGCCACACUGGGACUGAGACACGGCCCAGACUCCUACGGGAGGCAGCAGUGGGGAAUUUUGGACAAUGGGCGAAAGCCUGAUCCAGCAAUGCCGCGUGUGUGAAGAAGGCCUCGGUGUAA
This 420-nucleotide ribosomal RNA is filed under the name uncultured microorganism. Its description in RNAcentral is "bacterial SSU rRNA". It matches the Rfam family "Bacterial small subunit ribosomal RNA", at positions 9 to 428 of the family's 1533-position model. The record is from RNAcentral.